AUUAAUGGAUUUAGAGAGUGAAGCCAGGGCAGGAUUAGGAUUGUAGCUGGCUGGCUUCAAGUCUAGCAUGUGCACGUCCCAUCUUCCUUGGUCAAUCUCUCACAUUUUCAUAUCACACCUUGUGCACCUUUCGUAGGUCCUCGAACAGAGGAUCUAUGUUUUUUUGAUUAUCAUCACACACCUAUUCGUAUGUCCAAAGAAUGUGUAUGUUAAAUGUAUACAACUUUCAGCAAUGGAUCUCUUGGCUCUCGCAUCGAUGAAGAACGCAGCGAAUUGCGAUAAGUAAUGUGAAUUGCAGAUUUUCAGUGAAUCAUCGAAUCUUUGAACGCACCUUGCGCUCCUUGGUAUUCCGAGGAGCAUGCCUGUUUGAGUGUCAUCGAAUUCUCAACCACAACUUGAUUGAUGUGGCUUGGAUGUUGGGGGCUUGCUGGCAUCGAAGAGAUAGUCAGCUCUCCUGAAAUGCAUUAGCAAAAAGGGUCGGCAAGUCUGGACAAAUGCAUAUGGCCUUUCGACGUGAUAAUGAUCGUCGUGGUCAAAGUUGUCUGGUUUGAAUUUGUUGGAUCCUCCUAUUUGCUUCCAAUUGAAUGUCAAUCUUCUGACUGA
Molecule: ribosomal RNA, 603 nt
Filed under: Porphyrellus niger
Lineage: Eukaryota; Fungi; Basidiomycota; Agaricomycetes; Boletales; Boletaceae
Description: eukaryotic LSU rRNA
Rfam family: 5.8S ribosomal RNA (bases 222-376)
Source: RNAcentral